CCUACGGGAGGCAGCAGUGGGGAAUUUUGGACAAUGGGGGCAACCCUGAUCCAGCCAUGCCGCGUGAGUGAAGAAGGCCUUCGGGUUGUAAAGCUCUUUCGGCGGGGAAGAAAUUGCAUCGGAUAAUACCCGGUGUAGAUGACGGUACCCGCAUAAGAAGCACCGGCUAACUACGUGCCAGCAGCCGCGGUAAUACGUAGGGUGCGAGCGUUAAUCGGAAUUACUGGGCGUAAAGCGUGCGCAGGCGGUUGUGUAAGUCAGAUGUGAAAUCCCCGGGCUUAACCUGGGAACUGCAUUUGAGACUGCACGGCUAGAGUGUGGCAGAGGGGGGUGGAAUUCCACGUGUAGCAGUGAAAUGCGUAGAGAUGUGGAGGAACACCGAUGGCGAAGGCAGCCCCCUGGGCCAAUACUGACGCUCAUGCACGAAAGCGUGGGGAGCAAACAGGAUUAGAUACCCUUGUAGUCCAG
This 468-nucleotide ribosomal RNA is filed under the name uncultured Rhodocyclaceae bacterium. RNAcentral's name for it is "bacterial SSU rRNA". It matches the Rfam family "Bacterial small subunit ribosomal RNA", at positions 338 to 798 of the family's 1533-position model. The record is from RNAcentral. Lineage: Bacteria; Pseudomonadati; Pseudomonadota; Betaproteobacteria; Rhodocyclales; Rhodocyclaceae.